GUUUGUUAAUAAAGGCCUGUACACAGGACAGCUGGCCCCUGUUUUGUUUGUGGCUGAGGCAAAUAAGAGCACAUUCCACUGGACCUAGUCUUCUAACAAAACUUGUCACAUGGGAAAAAUUACUGGAAAAGUCAAUAUCCAUAUUGCCUGAAUGCUGCUGACGUCAUACACCAGACACACAAAGACUAGCACACAGACGUUGCCCACCUGUAAACCCUGCCAAACUUCCUCUAGUCCAUUCACCUUUCUUGUCCAGAAGAGCAGAAUCUAUUGCACAAGCAAAACAGGAACCUAAACUGAGCCCUUACUUUCAGCACUUUGUGAGAUGUGACUGGGUCAAAAAGUGCAAAGAUCUCCAACCACCAUCAAGCCAAAGUCUCCUACCAGAUAGUCAGUUAAGCUUUUUUGUAUUUAUAGCACUGUCUAUCUGCACUCUGUACUGUAUUGUCUUGCACUUUUUGUUCUAUGUUUCACCCUGGUCCUGGAUGACUGUUGUUUCAUUUCAAUAUGUACUUGUAUACAGCUGAAAUGACAAUAAAGCCCCUC
This is a long non-coding RNA of Trichomycterus rosablanca, 546 nucleotides long. RefSeq lists it as uncharacterized. Lineage: Eukaryota; Metazoa; Chordata; Actinopteri; Siluriformes; Trichomycteridae. The transcript has 3 exons. The record is from RefSeq and is a predicted model, not a curated record.